This 247-nucleotide ribosomal RNA is filed under the name uncultured bacterium. Its description in RNAcentral is "partial 16S ribosomal RNA". It matches the Rfam family "Bacterial small subunit ribosomal RNA", at positions 523 to 769 of the family's 1533-position model. The record is from RNAcentral.
AUACGGAGGGUGCGAGCGUUGUUCGGAAUUAUUGGGCGUAAAGAGCUCGUAGGUGGAUUAUUAAGUCUUAAAGUAAAUAUUCAGGCUCAACUUGGAUAUCAUUUGAGAUACUGUUAGUCUUGAGGGCAGAAGAGGAAAGUGGAAUUCCUGGUGUAGGAGUGAAAUCCGUAGAUAUCAGGAGGAACACCGGUGGCGAAGGCGGCUACCUGGACCGAUAUUGACGCUGAGACGCGAAAGCGUGGGUAGC